GACGAACGCUGGCGGCGUGCCUAAUACAUGCAAGUAGAACGCUGAAGGAGGAGCUUGCUUCUCUGGAUGAGUUGCGAACGGGUGAGUAACGCGUAGGUAACCUGCCUGGUAGCGGGGGAUAACUAUUGGAAACGAUAGCUAAUACCGCAUAAGAGUAGAUGUUGCAUGACAUUUGCUUAAAAGGUGCAAUUGCAUCACUACCAGAUGGACCUGCGUUGUAUUAGCUAGUUGGUGGGGUAACGGCUCACCAAGGCGACGAUACAUAGCCGACCUGAGAGGGUGAUCGGCCACACUGGGACUGAGACACGGCCCAGACACCUACGGGAGGCAGCAGUAGGGAAUCUUCGGCAAUGGACGGAAGUCUGACCGAGCAACGCCGCGUGAGUGAAGAAGGUUUUCGGAUCGUAAAGCUCUGUUGUAAGAGAAGAACGAGUGUGAGAGUGGAAAGUUCACACUGUGACGGUAUCUUACCAGAAAGGGACGGCUAACUACGUG
Molecule: ribosomal RNA, 495 nt
Filed under: uncultured bacterium
Lineage: Bacteria
Description: partial 16S ribosomal RNA
Rfam family: Bacterial small subunit ribosomal RNA
Source: RNAcentral